GAAAGUGGAAAGUUGAGGGUCGCAGCGGAGCCUUGAACCCUUUUACCACUGGACUGCUCGAGUUCAGCAGGUAGAAUGCCCUGAAAUCUCUUCAGUGCCGGUGGAUGCACCUGGACUAAGCCCGUCGAAAAUUCCAACUUUUGAGACGCUGCAAGUCACUUCGGAUUCCGUGUCGUCGGAAGCGGCCGAGCCGGCUGACCGAAGCCUAACGUCGACUUCGGCGUUUCCGCACGCCGCUUCGGUGCCGACGGACGCGGCUGAACCGAGCUCGCGUGCUCAACGCUUCGACACGGUGUUUUUCACGGAGGCGAAGUGCGCGGGGCGCGAAAAAUACGCAGACAACAUUAAAACUUCAUUGGCGAAGAAGUCCGCGACUUCCCGCAAGUUCGAGCUAAUGAACGUCGGCACAGGAAGUGAAGACGACGAUCGCGGCACAGAGUACAUCAUCGUUGAUCUCUCUGUGCUAAAGAAGCUGUUUGCAUCCUCAAGCUGCAGCAAGUGUGGGAUGGCCACUCUCCAACUCGCAAAGUGCAGUGAGAGAGAGCAGUGAGAGAACCAGCAGAGCUGUUGCAGCACAGCUUGGUUACAGUCCUGGGAGGUGCCUCAUUCGUAGGAGCCUUGAAAAAGAUAAACAGAGGCUGUGCAGGUCUGAUAAAAGUCACACCAAUGCUGAAAAGGUGAAGAAGAAGAUGGCAAAGAAGCACAAGCCUGACAGAACCCAGGACUACUGUCCAGGACUUUUGUGAAUGUGUGGCAGAUUCAUAGAAAAUAGCAAGUGACUUUCUGAGCUUUUUUUUUGUCAAGUGCCAAUGCAAUACAGAGGUUUUCACAAUCUUUACAUGAACAGA
Long non-coding RNA from Dermacentor andersoni, 848 nucleotides. RefSeq lists it as uncharacterized. The record is from RefSeq and is a predicted model, not a curated record. Lineage: Eukaryota; Metazoa; Arthropoda; Arachnida; Ixodida; Ixodidae.